RNAcentral lists this ribosomal RNA (253 nucleotides) under uncultured bacterium. Its description in RNAcentral is "partial 16S ribosomal RNA". It matches the Rfam family "Bacterial small subunit ribosomal RNA", at positions 524 to 776 of the family's 1533-position model. The record is from RNAcentral.
UACGAAGGGGGCUAGCGUUGUUCGGAAUUACUGGGCGUAAAGCGCACGUAGGCGGGUCGUUAAGUCAGGGGUGAAAUCCCAGAGCUCAACUCUGGAACUGCCCUUGAUACUGGCGACCUAGAGUUCGGAAGAGGUUAGUGGAAUUCCAAGUGUAGAGGUGAAAUUCGUAGAUAUUGGGAAGAACACCAGUGGCGAAGGCGGCUAACUGGUCCGAUACUGACGCUGAGGUGCGAAAGCGUGGGGAGCAAACAGG